AGUGAACGCUGGCGGUAGGCCUAACACAUGCAAGUCGAACGGCAGCACAGUAAGAGCUUGCUCUUACGGGUGGCGAGUGGCGGACGGGUGAGGAAUACAUCGGAAUCUACUUUUUCGUGGGGGAUAACGUAGGGAAACUUACGCUAAUACCGCAUACGACCUACGGGGGAAAGCAGGGGAUCGUCGGACCUUGCGCGAGUGAAUGAGCCGAUGUCGGAUUAGCUAGUUGGCGGGGUAAAGGCCCACCAAGGCGACGAUCCGUAGCUGGUCUGAGAGGAUGAUCAGACACACUGGAACUGAGACACGGUCCAGACUCCUACGGGGGGCCGCAGUGGGGACUAUUAGACAAUGGGCGAAAGCCUGAUCCAGCCAUACCGCGUGGGUGAAGAAGGCCUUAGGGUUGUAAAGCCCUUUUGUUGGGAAAGAAAAGCAGCACGUUAAUACCCCGCUGUUCUGACGGUACCCAAAGAAUAAGCACCGGCUAACUUCGUG
This 492-nucleotide ribosomal RNA is filed under the name uncultured bacterium. RNAcentral's name for it is "partial 16S ribosomal RNA". It matches the Rfam family "Bacterial small subunit ribosomal RNA", at positions 29 to 507 of the family's 1533-position model. The record is from RNAcentral.